Molecule: non-coding RNA, 595 nt
Organism: Maylandia zebra (zebra mbuna)
Lineage: Eukaryota; Metazoa; Chordata; Actinopteri; Cichliformes; Cichlidae
Source: RefSeq, a predicted model, not a curated record
UCCCGGCUUCCUAUAGACUUUAUAAAAUGCCCACAGUGCGCAAUUUAUAAAAACACAUGCAGGCUGACUCUCCCCGUACUGCGCAAACCCCCCGCACAGCUGCAGGUCUUGAACCAGCCCAGCUCUUGCAUCAGCUUUAAACCACCUCACACCCAGUUAGCAGACAUGAUCAUCAGACUGGGCAGGCUGACACCUGGAUACUUCCGUCUCCUCCAGAGGCAAGUAGCAGGUCAGGUGCAGGCGCAGCCACAAGACCGUACUGUCAACCAGAUAGCCAUGAUGCUGGCCAUCAUGGGCCUGAGUUUGUCUUACUACAGUGCCAAACAGAUGACGGAGAAGGUGAAUGCCCAGCCUGCACCCUGAAGAGGCUCGACUGCCGGUGCCAUUCGUCGAAAUAAUGGAUGAACCAAUGACAAGUGAUGGCGGUGGAGCGAGGAAGUAGAAGUCGAGACACAGCAGUGUUUCUGGGGACCGAACUUUUCUCACCUCACAGUCAUAAUCACACUUUGAAUUUCUGGGAUCCCUCACUUACCACGUGCAAAACUUUCUGACCGGGCACUGAGUGUUUUCUACUCUUUCUGUUGCCAGGAUUUAU